UAAUACAGAGGUGGCAAGCGUUGUUCGGAAUUACUGGGCGUAAAGGGCGCGUAGGCGGUCUUGUCAGUCCCUUGUGAAAUCCCCCGGCUCAACUGGGGAACUGCAAGGGAAACAGCAGGGCUUGAGUUCGGGAGAGGGAAGCGGAAUUCCGGGUGUAGCGGUGAAAUGCGUAGAUAUCCGGAGGAACACCGGUGGCGAAGGCGGCUUCCUGGAC
This 214-nucleotide ribosomal RNA is filed under the name uncultured bacterium. RNAcentral's name for it is "partial 16S ribosomal RNA". It matches the Rfam family "Bacterial small subunit ribosomal RNA", at positions 521 to 734 of the family's 1533-position model. The record is from RNAcentral.